This 696-nucleotide long non-coding RNA is filed under the name Malus domestica (apple). RNAcentral's name for it is "long non-coding RNA (MDOM_LNC006190)". Lineage: Eukaryota; Viridiplantae; Streptophyta; Magnoliopsida; Rosales; Rosaceae. The record is from RNAcentral.
UGAAAGACCUUUGCAAUUGAAUGUCAAAAUCUAUACUUUUACUAUGAGGGGGAUUCUGGAUGCUUGUUAAUGGUCAUGGCAUCGUCAUCUAAGCCUCAGCUAAUAAGUCUGCUUGCUCUUCUUCUCAUCUUCCUCCACCUCUCCCUUCUUUCCAUUGUGCAUGCAGACCCUCACGGCACUUCUCUCUCCUCAGCAUCUCAUACAGUUCGAUAAUUACGUUUUUGCCCUUGUAUUAUAUUCCGAAAUUCUGAAUACUGCAUUUUUUUCCCCUUCUGAUAUUGCAGAAAGUGAUCUUUGUAAUUACGAUGACGAUUCCGAUCUGGAUGAUGUUGCUCCAAACAAGUACAAGCUCGACGACUGCGUUUGAGUAGCAGGGAAUGCAAGGACACAUGGGACUGCGGCCCUGUGUGCAGAGACAUGGGAAUAUUGAACCCUAAUGCCAUCAAAUGUGUUGUUCCCAACCAAGCUGGUGGAACUGGAAAACUUUGCUGUUGUCUUCCUCCUACUGAACCCAAUUAGAUACCUACCUUAAUCACCUUUUUACAUCAAAACCCUGACUUCAACGUUGUUUUGUAAUAAAGAUAAUUAAGGUGAGGAUUUUCAUUUCUCCUAGAUGCUUAAUUUAUUUGAAUUUGCAUGAGUAUGUAUUAACUUGCAAAAGAUUAUUGUUUGAUAAAACUUUGAUUAGAGUCUGAC